Hippocampus zosterae (dwarf seahorse) is the source of this 5991-nucleotide long non-coding RNA. RefSeq lists it as uncharacterized. Lineage: Eukaryota; Metazoa; Chordata; Actinopteri; Syngnathiformes; Syngnathidae. The record is from RefSeq and is a predicted model, not a curated record. The transcript is spliced from 2 exons.
AAACUUUUUGCAAAUAGGGAUAGAUUUGUUGAGGGGAGCUGACCAUUCAGCUUUCAUUUGCUUUAAUUUGUCAUGGCGUUCGAUCCUACUUCCCAGUCACCUUGUCAUCGUUUGGAUGUUUUUUCUGGUACUGCCUCUUGUUCAAUUCCUGGAAAACGGGGAUGGCAAUUUUUCGCGGAUGCGCGGAAAUCUGCCGUUUUAUUUCUUAAAUUGAUCAUUUUUGUGAAUCGUCUAAAUCCGCUGAAAAUUUUGGGGGGGUCAGGUACCUUAUCGUCGUGUUUUCAAGAGCAUCUUCCGAUUGUAAACAGCCCUGCGAAUGGACGUGUAUGAUGUCUUACUUGCUGUGAUUGGUCACCCCGUCCAGGCCAAGCUCCUUUCCGCUUUUUUCAUCACUAGCCAUUGCCAUCCCUGGGAAAACAGCCACAGUCUCCACAGCAAAUUAUGCAGACACAGUUGUCAUUUCAAGUCACAUUUAUUUAUAUAGCGCUGAAUCACAAACUGUCUCAAAGGGCUUCGCCUUGAGAAGGGGCCGCAGAUGGGAGAAUCCCUCUUCCAGAAUAACCAGGCUGCAAUGGGUGCCGGGUGGGACAGACAUGGGUCCCCCCUCUGAACCUGGCCAAGUUGGUUGAGGAAGAAAACGUCAUAGCAGCGCCUAUGAAGAUGUGGUGGUUGACCUAGCUCUUGCCCAGCUCAGUCGUUGCAAAUCAUGUCCAUAUUGAUCGGAGUAGAAUCUGUUCAGCAGCAUCCAAUUAGGACAUCAUCACCUAGCCCCUUCUCCAGAUCAGGGAGGAAGGAGAAGGACUAACAGAAGAAGCGGGAGGACAACAUACAGUUUAAGAAAAUUAAGAUUAAGAUAUCCUUUAUUUGUCCCACACUGGGGAAAUUUACAGUCUACCGCAGCAAGAUUGUGGGUAGAAAGAAGAAAGAAGAAAAAAAGACACCGUUCAAUUAAGUGCAAUAUAAAUACAAAUAUGGAUAAGGUCACAGUGCUAUUUACAAUUGUUUUUCACAUUUAAUUAAUUACUUUUUUUUAAAUUCAGCAGCUGACAGCAGUCGGUAGGAACGAGCGGUGGUAUCUCUCCUUCUUGCAUGUAAGAGUACACAAAUGCGUCUGAAGUUGGGUUUUAAACAUUCCAACUGAGGUAGCUUCUCUAGUGUCCGUGGGUCGGGCAUCCCGAAUAGAAAACGGUCCAUGAAAUGCAGUCUUCUUUUUGGCUCUCAUAAUAACGAAAGGAUCAGCCUGUUGUGAACGAAGAGUUCGGGGUGGAAAAUCUGGUGUCACUAAGUCAACGAGAUAUGAAAGUUCCAAGCUGUGUAAUAUUUUAUUAUUAAGUCGCAAAACCUUGAAAUUGCUUCUCAAAUGGAUCGGAGUAAUGUGAUCGUACUUCCUUGUACUCGACAGGAGUCUAGCUGCAGCUUUUUGUACUCACUGCAAGUACUCACUGUACAUGGGAAGAUCAGAGAGCACUACUUUGCAAUAAUUGAGGAGGGAUGUAACAAACGCAUGAAUUAUGAUAUCUUACCGAUAUUGCGAAGGUGAAAAAUCCCUGCAGUUCUAGUGUUAUUCUUAAUGUGCAUUUGAAAAGAGAAUGUUGAAUCAAAUAUAACAGACUUUUUUUUUUUUUUGCUGAAUCACUUUAUAAUAAUAGUCAUUUCUCGAGUCUGAGAGUAGUGUCCUUGAAUAGGUGCUGAUGCUGAUCAUCAUCAUCUCAGUUUUACCGGGUUUAGAAGCAAAAAAAAUAAAUAAAGAAAAAAGAGGUCAUGCAUAGUUUAAUCUCACCAAGGCAUGCCUCGAGAUUACAGCAGCUGCUCCGGUUAGUUAUUUCUAACGGCAUAUAUAAGAUAAGACAAACUUUAUUUGUCCCACACUGGGGAAAUUUGCAGUCUACAGCAGCAAAAUUGGAAGGGUGGGGGCAGAGAAAAAAUAGUGUUUCAUUGCACAAAAUAAAGAACUGUACACAGUUCAAUAUAAGUGCAAUCUAAAAUAAAGCAUUAGCAAUAUAUUUGUAGAAUAGUUGGGCAUUAUCAGCAUAAUACUGCUAACACAAGUUAUAUUUCCCUAUACCACCGAGAGGAAGCAUGUAGAUGCUGAACAAGAGAGGGCCAAGUACCGAUCCCUGUGGGACUCCACAUGUAACAUUACAAAACUCAGAAGUCAUGUUACAUGAAUUACGCAGUGCGUCCUCUCUGAGAGGUAAGAACUAAACCAGUGAAGAUGUGAGCCUGAAAUACCAACACUUUCUGAGGCGUUCCAAUAGUAUGUUAUGAUCGACGGUGUCAAAGGCAGCACUAAGAUUGAGUCAUAAUAAUGUUGAUGAGGUGUCAGAGUCCAUCGUGAGAUCAUUGGUCACUUUAGCAAAGGCCAUUGCAGUAGAAUGGUCGGCAUUAAACCCUGACUGAAACGGCUCAAAUCGAUUGUUAGUGGCCAUGUAAUCAGUAAGCUGCUGCGCAAAUACUUAUUCAAGAUUUGUUUUCAAUAAACUGGAGAUUUGAUAUUGGCUUAUAGUUACAGAAACUCUCCGAGUCAAGAUUUGGUCACUUAAGAAGGGGUCAAAUAACAUCAGUCUUAAACGCUGCUUGUACAGUGCCAGAGGAUAGUCAUGAAUUACCGUAUUUUCACGACCAUUCGCCGCACCGUAUGGUUGGGCGCAGUCUAUUAAUGGGUGCUAUGUCUGUAUUUUACACAUAGACAAAACGCACUAUAUUAUUGGCCGCAGUUUUAAAGUGGUAAAACAUACGCCAGCUUAUAAACAUACGGCAUGCAUGCGCUAAAAACACAUUAGCUUGAUGCAUACGGUAGCAUGCCAAGACAUACAGAUACAAGCUAAAAACACGUUUUUAAAAAGGCAACUCAGCACAUACAAAAGACGCUCCGCAUCAUAAGGCGUCCUGUCCAUUUCGGAGAAAAUGUAAGACUUUUAAUGGCGCCUUACAGUCGUACAAAUACAAAUACUGUCAGAAUACAGUACUGUAUUUUCACUAUGGUAUGGCAUACACUAUGGUCUAGUGCAGGGGUGCCCAAACUUUUUGGACCGAAGAUCUACUUUUCGAACAACUAACCUCCCGGGAUCUACCCGUACCGGCACGCGCGCGAACACACACAUGCACGCCAUGAUGAGAAACAGCCUGAAACGGAGGCAUGCGAUGCACUUUUGCAGCCUGUUAACUAUCGUACCUCACACGUACAGUUUGAAAGUACUUCCCUGGGCCCUCCGAGAUUCCUAUUCUUUGCUCGUGCCCUCGGUGAAUUGUACACGAAGCAAACUUUGAAUGAGAAUAAUGACGAUAAAAGAUAGAGCGCAACAGCUCUGAUUACAAGCUGCAAUUGCAGACUGCUGAGCGCAAACAACUUCCAGUGACGUAAUCACGCGCCACCGUAAAUUCAAGAUUUACCUGCUUUAUUUUAUUUUUAAAACAUUUUUUGGUGAAAAUGAGACUGAUAGGAUGAUUAGGGUGCAGCAUACAUUAACACAAAACAUAUAUAUUACUAACAUGUACAACGACACACAAAUGGUUGUUUUUUUGUUUUUUUCUCCUCGACACUCCUCGGAUCUACUUGGGACCUGUCUUAGAUCUACCGGUAGAUCAGGAUCUACCUAAUGGGCACCCCUGGUCUAGUGUAUGCGCCGAGUUCCAAAGCCUGACUGAGAGCACCUCUGGCCGACACGCUUUUUAUAUAGAGAAAGGCGGAGUGAGUGAUGACAGGCAUGCGGAAGUCCGCCAAUGAGUGAAGGGUGGGCGUGUAAGAGGACGCUAAAGGCACGUCCCUAGCAGGUACCAGUCGCCAAUGAGGUGAAGAGUGGGCGUGUAAGAGGACGCUAAAGGCACGUCCCUAGCAGGUGCCAGUCGCCAAUGAGUGAAGGGUGGGCGUGUAAGAGGACGCUAAAGGCACGUCCCUAGCAGGUACCAGUCGCCAAUGAGGUGAAGAGUGGGCGUGUAAGAGGACGCUAAAGGCACGCCCCUAGCAGGUACCAGUCACGUGAGUACAUUGCAAAAUAGCGAAAUAAAGUACCACCGAACUCAGUUUUGCUUCCAUUGCCUUUUUAAAAAACGUGUUUUUAGCGCGCGUGCAUGCAUGCCGUAUGUUUAAGCUGGCGUAUGUUUUACCAUGCCUGGCUGCGCCCAAUAAUACAGUGCGUUUUGUGUAUGUGUCAAGUACAGAAAUAGCAACCCUUCCUGAGACUGCGCCCAACAAUACGCUGCGCCGAAUGGUUGUGAAAAUACGGUAAUCAUAUCUAAGAUAGACGGUCCUAUGAUGAUAAUCAUAAUAAUAAGAUAUCCUUUAUUUGUCCCACAGGAUAUCUAUUAUUUUUUUGAAAGUGCUUUUCAUCAUACGCAAAGAUAUUUUACAAAGCUUAAAACACAGGAUAAAAAUGUACACUUAAAGACAAGCAUACAAGAUUUACAAAAAACACAUUUAGAUGAACAAAAAAAAGCAAAAAUUGGUAAAAAAAAAAAAAGAUUAAAAGGUGUUAAAAGCAUUGCGGAACGGGUGAGUUUUAAGAGAUGAUUUGAAAGAUUGGAGGUCAGUACAGUUGCGAAUGUGUUGUGGUAGAGCAUUCCAGAGGGUGGGUGCGGCGACAGAGAAGGCUCGGUUCUCCCAGGUUUUGAGCUUGGUUAUGGGGAUGGCGAGGGGGUUUGUGUUUGAGGAGCGGAUGUUGCGGGAAGGAAUGUAUUGGUGAAGAAGGUCGGAAAGGUAGGAGGAGGCCUAAUUGUGAAGGGCUUUAUAGGUUAGUAGAUGGAGUUUAAACUGAAUACACUGGGGAACAGGGAGCUAGUGGAGGUUUUCAAGGACGGGGGUGAUGUGAUCACGAGUGCGGUUGUGAGGGGGGUAGACGGGCGGCGGCAUUCUGGAUGUACUGUAGUUUAUUGAGGAGUUUGGAGGUUGUAGCGUAGAGGAUGCUAUUGCAGUAGUCAAGGCGGGAGGUGAUGAAGGCGUGGAUGAUGGUUUGAGCUCCGUUGAAAGAAAGUGAAGAGCGGAGAUGAGAAAUGUUUUUGAGGUGGAAGAAAGCAGUUUUGGUGAUUUGGGUGAUGUGUUGGUUGAAAGAGAGGUUAUUAUCAAAAAGGGCAUUGAUGUUGCGACAGUGAGAGGAGGGGAACAGGGUGCAGUUGUCGAUAGUGAGGUUAAAGUUGGAGGCUGUUUGGGUGAGGGACUGAGGACUGAACAGUUGAGAUUUAGUGCAGUUGAGAGUGAGAAAGUUUGUUUUCAUCCAGGAUUUGAGAUCUGAAAGACGGUUAGACAAGGUGGAGUGGGUUGUUGGGGUAAAUGAUUUGGUGGAAGUGUACAAUUGGACGUCAUCAGCGUAGCAGUGGAACUGGAGAUCAUGAUGACAAAUGAUUUGGCCGAGGGGUAAAAGGUCGAGGAUGAAGAGAAGAGGACCAACCGCAGAACCCUGGGGUUGAUGUGUAUGAAUUGUUUCCUGUCUGUGAGAUAUGAGCGGAGCCAGAUGAAGACUUUGUCGGUGAUGUUUCGGGAUUGCAGGCAAGCGAGUAGAAUGGAGUCUUUGAUGGUGUCGAAGGCAGCUGUAAGGUCGAGAAGGAUGAGGAUGGAGAGUAGGCCGGAGUCAGAGGAGAGGAGAAGGUCAUUGGUGAUUUUGAGGAGGGCUGUUUCAGUGCUGUGUUGUGUGCGGAAUACAGAUUGAAAUUGUUCAAAGAGUUGGUUAUUCUCCAGGUAGGUUUUAAUUUGAGAUUCGACGACACAUUCUGUGAUUUUGGACAGAAAGGGGAGGUUGGAGAUGGGUCGAAAGUUGCUUAUGAGGAGUUUGUUGACUGUAGAGAAGAGAGCCUUUUGGUUUUGGAAUCAGUGUGGAUCAGGUUGUAGUAGUAGGUGGAAUGGCUGGAGUUGAGUUUUGGAUUGGAUUGGAUAAACUUUAUUGACAAAUAUACUGCAUGUGUAACAUACAGCACACAGAUGAAAUUUCUUCCCUCUCGACAUAAAACAAGAGGAGCCGCUGCGAGUGCCUGCGCCGCUAUCAAAAGAAAAGUUAAAAA